GGAUUUAUAAUGAGAGAUUUUCUAGUUGUUUUUGGUUCUCCUCCUCCUCCUCCUCCUUUUCCUCCUUCUCUUCCUUCUUUUCUUCCUCCUUUUCUUCUAAAACCUCUAAUCUCUUAUUCCCUCUAAUGUCUGACCAAAGUACUGCUGUCUGAGACAUUGGAGGCAUACUGUGCUCCUCUUCUUCCCUCCCUGUGGAGAAGCCUUAAGUUACAUGCCUUCAUCCAGUCUUGCAGAGUUGUGUCUAAUGCAGCAAGAUGCCUGCCUGUUUUCUUUGUUCCUAGCUGUCUCCAGGCAUCCAAACUAUGCCUGUUCCAUCAGUACUAAGGGUGAGGGAGAUGUUACAAGACAAGAUGAUUUCACUGGAAGCUGAGUUUUGCCAGCUUUGGGGAAAUGCUGAUGCAGAACAUCAUUUAUUUAAGGCUGAUACUCAUGGAUAGAAGAGUCAAAGUGCGAAUAUAUGCACCCUUCUAUACGGAUUCUGCAGAAAGAUAUGCUUGGGUCAUGACUCAGGGUAUAUUUCUUCCUCUUAAAGUGUACCUUCCCUGGAGCUUCAGCCUAAUGCCUGAGGUCCUCAGUGAGGUCCCUCCAUUCUUCCUAUCUAAGCUGAAACUUCAACAUCUUCAGGAGUGUGUGACACCUGGUAUGUCUGCUCAGUUCUGAGCUCUGUAGUGACUCCACUGUUGUGUUUUGGAAAACUUGUCAUGUGCACAUGAAUAAUUUAAUCUUAGAUUAUUAAAUUAUUGACUUUAAUACCGCAUGCUUAACUAAGAUAAUUAACAUCAGAAUAUCAUCUAAGAUUUGUCUUCUUAAAAAUCAAGUUUUACCAGAAUCUUAAUAUGAAUUAUAAAAUUAAUGAUUUUAUUGGGACAGUUUUAGAGAUCUGAUACUUAUUUGUAAUUUGCAAAUAUUCUAAGAUGUUGGUCAUUAGAGAACAUAUAUGAAUAAGUGCAUGUGGUAGUUAGGAGAGUGGAAAUGAAUACAAACUAUUAAUGGGUUGUUGCAGAAUAUUCUGACCUUACUGAAUAAACACACAAUACAUAUGCGCACACAUUCAUAGAAUCAGAAAGUCAUGAAAAGGCUGAAUGUAAAACAAAGAGCAUGAGAGACCCAUGUUCUUAAAUUCUAUUAGUACUAAAACUUCCAGUUAACAUUGUAGAAACAUAUAUAUUAGAGAAUUAUGAAUAAACACAGUCCUUGACGUAUGCACAAUCUGAGUUGAUCAAAGGACACUGGCAGAAACAUUAAAAAACUGUGUAAGAUAUUUCACUGCAAUUUUAUAAAUUUCUUCAGUAUAGUAGUAGUGUUUUCCUACUCAUUACAGGAUCUGGGGCCAUCUGCUUUUAAAAUAAUACCUUGCACAUAAUGGGAGAUCUUUACAUAAAGUUUGAAUAAAUUAAGGAAGAAUUAAUUAGCAAGUCCAUUCCUGCUAUGUCAUUUAAGCAAUUUUUUAUUCAUCAAAACAUACUACUUCAAGCUAAUAUUAAAUGGUUUAUAUUCAUGAAACCAUGGGCUAUUACUUAAUUCCUAGAAUUUACCUGCAAAAAAUCAUUGAUUUAUACACUAUACAAGGUAAUAUUCUGGUUCAUUCUCUGGAACAAAUUGCAACUUAAUUGAAAAUAGUAUGAAAGCUAGUAAGUAUAAUUCAAGUGAAAAGCCUUAAAUUCCAUAAGAAUUAAGAACCUUUGGUAAUUAAUAUACCAAACUUUUGGUAUUUGAAAGUGAAAAGAUGUAUUCCUUUAAGAAAAAUAAUAAAGUUGUCAAGAUGAGGAAGAAUUAAACGUACGUAAUAUUGGGCCCUAAUAGAUGAGUGAUGAUAACAGAAAGUAACGUCAAUCAAGACAACAGAACAGUAUGGGGUGUUUUCAGGGAGUAUUAUUUAAUCAACCUGGCGUUCUAAUGAUAGUGACUAUGAAUUAGCAACCUUACUUUGCCCUAAUGUGAGUGGCUUAUUAGAAGAGGCUCAGGUCAGAAGUGGGAUACUAGUGAGCAAGCUGCUGCUAGAGGUAAUGAGGCAAGAAACAGGAUUUUAACAACAUUAGAGAUCUCGUUAAUUCAAACUAAUGGAAAAAAUUGCAGUAACAUAAAAUGUAAAUCUCUCCAACUUUUAAAUUUAUAAUUGGCAGAGAAGGAGAAGCUAUUGAAGAUCUUGAUGCUUUGAAACUGUAUGAGAGGUGUUGUUAUCAAAAGAACUAGCUAGGAGAAAAAAGAAAAUAUACGUUGAUGGUAGCUGUUGGAUUUAGUUCUGGUUUAAAGUAUUUAGACAUGAAUCUGAUCCUGGAUUUCAAAAGGACCUUUAUUGAAAAUGUCAAGUGACAAGAGAUAUUAAGAUGCAUAAGAUUGAACACUACAGCAUCUUCUUUCAAUAAUUUGAUUUACUCACCCUUAUUUAAAGAAUUGAAUCUUUCUGUUCUCAAGCCUCCUUUUCACCAAUUAAUUUGAUUCAGGACAAAAAGUGGUGUUUGAUAUUUUCAACUUUAAAAUAAGUCAAUUUUCCUGCACGCUUAAAUAUUCUGUUAUCUUGAAUUCUAAUGAAGGACCUAUAACUAUGUAUUUAAUAUUUGGUAAAUUUAUACAGAUGUAACAUAUUAUUGAAAUAAGAUUGUAUAAACUAAACAAGAAAAUAGACUGAAAAUAUUGUCUCAAAAAGAACAAUUCUUGCUAUGCUUUUCUUGUAUUUAUAUUUUAUUCAUGUAAGCUGUUUUCUAUCCUGGAAAUAUCAUCCUCCUACUCUCCACCUUCUUUUCACCCUUCACUCUUGUCUUUCAAUGCUCAGCUAAAAUUAAACUCCUCAAACAGGCUUUCAAAGCUCAGUGUAGAAUCAUCUGUUAUUUCCUGCUUCCUCAGUAUUAACUUUUUAUAUAUUAUAUGUCUUGUUAUAUGUAUAAAUGUUUAUUUCCUAAAUCACCAGUACACUGUAAACUCUAUGAAGUUAGAAAUGUAAAAUCAACACCUAAUUUG
RNAcentral lists this long non-coding RNA (2958 nucleotides) under Homo sapiens (human). RNAcentral describes it as "long intergenic non-protein coding RNA 1378". The record is from RNAcentral. Lineage: Eukaryota; Metazoa; Chordata; Mammalia; Primates; Hominidae.